Molecule: ribosomal RNA, 200 nt
Filed under: Limosilactobacillus reuteri
Lineage: Bacteria; Bacillati; Bacillota; Bacilli; Lactobacillales; Lactobacillaceae
Description: Lactobacillus reuteri partial 16S ribosomal RNA
Rfam family: Bacterial small subunit ribosomal RNA
Source: RNAcentral
UUUAUAUGAGAGUUUGAUCCUGGCUCAGGAUGAACGCCGGCGGUGUGCCUAAUACAUGCAAGUCGUACGCACUGGCCCAACUGAUUGAUGGUGCUUGCACCUGAUUGACGAUGGAUCACCAGUGAGUGGCGGACGGGUGAGUAACACGUAGGUAACCUGCCCCGGAGCGGGGGAUAACAUUUGGAAACAGAUGCUAAUAC